Molecule: long non-coding RNA, 1226 nt
Organism: Zingiber officinale
Lineage: Eukaryota; Viridiplantae; Streptophyta; Magnoliopsida; Zingiberales; Zingiberaceae
Exons: 3
Source: RefSeq, a predicted model, not a curated record
UAAAUAUAGCAUUUUUGAGGCAACAACUACCAACAAUGACUUGCAUACAUAGUUCUUUCAGUCUAUCAAUGUGCUUACCAUAUUGUGAUACCAACAUUUAUAUUAACAACUAAACACGGAAUUGUUUGCCUUAUGUAUUUUCUAUGUAGUUUAAAAAUUUUAACCUACUGUAAUCCUUGCUCUAUCUUUGCUAAUAUUCUUAUUAACAUAAAACUAAAUAUUUUAGGAAAAAAGGGAAGCCUUCAACCUAUCCAAACAUAGACAUUUUUUCAAUGUAUCAUUCAAAUAUACUAGGAAAGAGAUUGUUGCAUAACUUUUUUGCCGAUAUGAUGCCUUAUUAGCUUUUACUACUGAUAUUACAUUAACAUUUAAUUUUGAUAAUGAUUACUAAAACACUUGCUGUUGUUGCAGAAUGAAAAUUGAACACUGAAAGUUAGGUACACUUUCACUGGGAUUAAUCACAAUCUACUCGACAACUACUUGACUAGAAAUAUAUCUCAAGGAUUUUUGUGAGAUUGUCAAUCCUCUACCACACCAUUUGACUAGAAAGGCAAAUAUGAUAGCUUGGACUUAUCAUCUGGAGGAUAUACUUGGAGGAAUGAUAGUUUGGCCUUUUCAUCUAUUGACAAUAAGAGAAAACUACUAUUAGUGCAUAUGGAAUGAUACUUCAUCUAUUUCUCGUUUGGUGACAAGUACUUGGAUUUUGCUUAUAAUAUGAUGGUUGACAAGUACUUGGAUUUUGAGUUCUCUUUGUUGUUAUUAUGUACAAACAAAAUUAGAGGUAGACAGAAACUCUUUACCUCUGCAAUCAAAAUGAUGGAAAUUGGAAAGAACAACAACUAUCUUUCCCAUAUAAUUCUCUAAUCUGAAUGGACUAUCUUAUCCUGUUGACAAUUGUGGGUGCUAAAGGGAAUAUAUAUCUCCCUAUUACUAGCAAGGCUAAGAAUCAUGGAAGCAACAUUCCUUGCCCACCCAAGGAAUCUGAUAGCAAGGCUAAGAAUCAUGGAAGCAACAUUCCUUGCCCACCCAAGGAAUCUGGAGGCUGUGGAAACGGUCUUCUUAAGUUAAGUUGCAGCAUACCAUUUGUUUGGUCUAAAACGGACUUCUCUUCUCUCUUUCAACUAUGAUAUUUAGUCUUGGUUUACUAAUAUAUUAUUUAUGUGCUUUUACAGUUUACAAAUCUCAAGUAUUCCAGAGUUGAAAUUGAUGAAGUGCGGUUUGAGUGG